GCCCUUCUGACUGGCGCAGCUACUCUGGCAACAGAGCGACGUAUGCCGGGAAGUUGGUCUAAACUUGAUCAUUUAGAGGAAGUAAAAGUCGUAUCAAGGUUUCUGUAGGUGAACCUGCGGAAGGAUCAUUACUGAUGUGAAAAAUCCAAGGUUAAACAUCAUUAAUCAAACAGUGUGAACUGUGAAACAACUCUUUAGGGGUCGGCACAGGCGUGUGUCGUUAAAUGGCGGAUAGGUUCCUUCCGCCAGCCCCGCCAUUGUGUUUAUGAUAUCACUUUGAACGUUAAAGACUGAGAACGUAUGUAUCAUGCAUUAAAUGUAUGAGAAAGAAGGAAAGAAAAAUAAGAGACAACUUUUGACGGUGGAUCUCUUGGCUCACGUAUCGAUGAAGAACGCAGCCAGCUGCGAUAUGUAGUGUGAAUUGCAGAAUUCAGUGAAUCAUUGAAUCUUUGAACGCAAAUGGCGCUCUUGGGUUCUUCCAGGAGCAUGUCUGUCUGAGUGUCGGAUUUUAUCGAACGCACUCGUGAGUGCGGUAUUGAGGUGUCCCGGCGUGUUAGCAAGCAUUACAUCGCCGUGUCCCUUGAAGGACAGCAGCAUUGGACUCGCAUUCUGUAUUGAAACUUGAGUGCGAAGGCUAAAGAUAAUAUUUUCCUUCGCCCAAACAUGCAAUAGCAGAAACAAAAUCCAAUCAAAGCGGUGACAGACAAUAAACAUCAAAUCUUGACCUCAGAUCAGGCAAGGCUACCCGCUGAAUUUAAGCAUAUUAAUAAGCGGAGGAAAAGAAACUAACAAGGAUUCCCUCAGUAACGGCGAGUGAAGCGGGAAUAGCUCAAAUUUGAAAUCUCCGACGCUUGCGUCGGCGAAUUGUAGUUGCGAGAAGCACUUUCUAGGCGGAUCGGUCGUGCCUAAGUUGCUUGGAACAGUACGUCAUAGAGGGUGACAACCCCGUCUGUGGCUCGGCCGGCCGCUCACGAUGGCUAC
RNAcentral lists this ribosomal RNA (981 nucleotides) under Goniopora gracilis. Its description in RNAcentral is "eukaryotic LSU rRNA". The stretch from base 722 to 981 matches the Rfam family "Eukaryotic large subunit ribosomal RNA", at positions 1 to 254 of the family's 3401-position model. The record is from RNAcentral. Lineage: Eukaryota; Metazoa; Cnidaria; Anthozoa; Scleractinia; Poritidae.